RNAcentral lists this microRNA precursor (196 nucleotides) under Oryza glumipatula. RNAcentral describes it as "MIR812 microRNA precursor family". It matches the Rfam family "MIR812 microRNA precursor family". Lineage: Eukaryota; Viridiplantae; Streptophyta; Magnoliopsida; Poales; Poaceae. The record is from Rfam by way of RNAcentral.
AAAAAGACAAACCCUGGGUUUCUGUGUCCAACGUUUGACCCUCCGUCUUAUUUAAAAAAAAUUAAAAAGAUAAGACACGCAUAAAGUAUUAAUCAUGUUUUAUCAUCUAACAACAAUGAAAAUACUAAUUAUAAAAAAAAUUUAUAUAAGAAAAACAGUCAAACGUUGGACACGGAAACCUAGGGUUUAUUUUUUG